ACUAAAAAGGAUUCCCCCUAGUAGCGGCGAGCGAACGGGGAUGAGCCCAGCACUGAAUCCUGCAGUCGUAUACCGGCUGUCGGGAAAUGUAGUGUUUGGGAGGAUCCGCUAUCCUUAGGUGGUGUUGAGCGUCCAAGUUCUACUUGAAAGAGGCCAUUUACCCGUAGAGGGUGCCAGGCCCGUACGAUGCUCACCUGCCGAGGGAGGAUCUCUCCUUAGAGUCGGGUUGCUUGAGAGUGCAGCCCUAAGUAGGUGGUAAACUCCAUCUAAGGCUAAAUAUGACCACGAGACCGAUAGAAAACAAGUACCGUGAGGGAAAGUUGAAAAGGACUUUGAAGAGAGAGUUCAAUAGUACGUGAAACUGCUCAGGGGUAAACCUGUUAGGCCCGAAAGAUCGAACGGGGAGAUUCAACGCAUCCUACGGGUUGUGUGCACUUCAUCCAAGUAGAUUGUUGUGUCUCGUUAGAAGGCUCCGGGGUUAGUCCUGCGCGGCGCCCUGGAUGCCCUAAGUUACCUGGCUGACGAGAGAGUGUGUGCACGGGGCGCGAGUUCGCAUCCGACACGUCGCAAGUGGGGUAACUUGGCUGUCGCACUAAAAAACUGCUGGUGACGUUGUUCUCGGAAGAGCGUGUAUAGCACAACUAUUUUAUACUUGGGGCACUGUCAGGACCCGUCUUGAAAC
This 682-nucleotide ribosomal RNA is filed under the name Uenohadesina styx. RNAcentral describes it as "partial 28S ribosomal RNA". It matches the Rfam family "Eukaryotic large subunit ribosomal RNA", at positions 64 to 660 of the family's 3401-position model. The record is from RNAcentral. Lineage: Eukaryota; Metazoa; Arthropoda; Insecta; Coleoptera; Staphylinidae.